Schistosoma mattheei is the source of this 48-nucleotide non-coding RNA. Lineage: Eukaryota; Metazoa; Platyhelminthes; Trematoda; Strigeidida; Schistosomatidae. The record is from Rfam.
AUACAGCUGACGAGUCCCAAACGGGACGAAAUGACACGCGUCCUCGAU